GGGACGGAGCGGUGCUCGAUGGAAUUAGUGUCCCCGGGCACUCGGGGCUGCGUGGGUGCCGCUAACGGGCUUGGGUGAAAAGAACAGACAGCAAGGAUUAAUGCAAGAGGAAAGGGGAUGGAGCAGAGCUUCAGACAUCAUCUGCUUACGUGCCUGACCAGAUGCUGAGGAAUACGUCUGGUCCAGGUAGCUGGGAUCGCAAGCUGCCGAUUGAAAUCUAGGUUAAGCUUUGGGUGGGAGCCUGAGACAAGAGGCCGUGAGCUGCCAGCCUUCGGGAUAUCCAAGGGCGCGAAGAUGGGAGAUGCUGGUCAGGUGAACAGACUCUGGGAAACACAGCAGGAGCCUGGAAUUGCCUCUUUGGGUAACAAAGGAGAUGAAGACCGGUGACGCCAGCGAAGUCCUUGAGCAUGGAGAGUGGGACAAGAGCCCAUGGCUCGGGCGGAAGAGCGAGACUGGCUCAGGGGGCCCCUGUGAGGCUGCAGAAGCCCAGAGGUUCUUUGUGUAGGUGCUCUGCUCAGAGGCACCAGCUCGAGCUGUGUCUGUGUCACUGCACAGGAAUAAACUGCUCUAUGGAACGAGGUAUCUGAGACUCUGCUGUGGGAGGCCGGGGUCGAGCCGGUGAGGGAGCCUGGUGUGACCGUGUGAGAGUGGCGGGGUGCGGGGAGAUGCGUCAGGCCUCGCCUCAGCAGAGCCUUUGGCCCUGUGACACCUUUGGGCUGUGGGACUCAGAGUUCUGUGGAUGGCCAGACUGGAAGUUUCCCUAACAGCCAUGGCACACUCAGAAAGUUACUUUCUGAUAAGUGUGGCUAAGUUGGCACUGACACAGGAAUACAAACAUGGCAGAUGGCCUGUAUAAAAACGUAGUACAGAAAGCAAAAUAUUUGCCAUCUUAGAAGAAAGGCAAGUUUUUAUUUACAAGAUGGCAACAUGGGAUAAACAUGAGUCAUCUCUGUGCUCUUCAGGAGAAAGAAUCUCAUCUUUUCAACUGGACACAUGCUCAGCCGCAAAAUAAUUUUGUUUGUAUAGGUUACUCCCCAGCUAAGACCAGGAAACCCUAAUUCUAUGUCAAGUAUUUCAGAAUGGUAUCAAUAAAAAACCAUGUGAUUACAAUGCCAGCUUCAGUUGAUGACUGGGAUAGCUGAAUGGACUAAAAUUUGGUUUCAUUGCUUUUGAAGAUAAGAGGAUGCUGAUGGGUCAUGGAGUCAUAUGGGUACAACAGGAACUGUUCAUUCCUUACUAGUCAAGAAAGAUGCAAAAGAAAUAGCUAGUCUGUCACUAAAGCAACUGUCAGUUGUUUGUAUCAAUCUUUGUUCAUACUGUUUCUUUAAUCAUUAUGGCUCAGGGUGUUGUUGAAAAUAUCAACAUGUAUGUUUUUAGUUUUGAUUCAUUUCUAUUUUAAAUUUAAUUUUUAUCCUUCCUUUUUGGGUUUAGGUUUGAGGGGUUUUUUAAAUUUUGGUAUUUCCUAUUCUGUUGCUUUUCCUGUUCCGUGUUCUCUAUGCUUAGCUGUAGUUAUCAGUAUCAUGUAAUAGCAGUUGUUUCUUUUCCUGUCUACAUGAAAUGUUUCAUUCCUGU
Molecule: long non-coding RNA, 1572 nt
Organism: Passer domesticus (house sparrow)
Lineage: Eukaryota; Metazoa; Chordata; Aves; Passeriformes; Passeridae
Exons: 2
Source: RefSeq, a predicted model, not a curated record